GGCUGGCUGGCGCAAUGGUAGCGCGCACCCCUCCUAAGGGUGAGGCUGUCGGUUCGAGUCCGACGUCGGUCG
Delitschia confertaspora ATCC 74209 is the source of this 72-nucleotide non-coding RNA. The record is from the annotation of a GenBank genome assembly. NCBI's taxonomy places the organism in Eukaryota, Fungi, Ascomycota, Dothideomycetes, Pleosporales, Delitschiaceae.